RNAcentral lists this ribosomal RNA (535 nucleotides) under uncultured archaeon. Its description in RNAcentral is "partial 16S ribosomal RNA". It matches the Rfam family "Archaeal small subunit ribosomal RNA", at positions 348 to 890 of the family's 1478-position model. The record is from RNAcentral.
CUUGACCGCGCAGCGCGAUGAGGGGACCCGAGUGCCUGCACCUUAUGGUGGCUGUCCUCUUUGUUAAAAAGCUUGUGUUAGCAAGGGCCGGGCAAGACCGGUGCCAGCCGCCGCGGUAACACCGGCGGCCCGAGUGGUGAUCUUUUUUAUUGGGUCUAAAGGGUCCGUAGCCGGUUUGAUCAGUUCUUCGGGAAAUCUGGCAGCUCAACUGUUAGGCUUCCGGGGGAUACUGUCAGACUUGGGACCGGGAGAGGUAAGAGGUACUCCGGGGGUAGGAGUGAAAUCUUGUAUUCCCUGGGGACCCCCCUGGGGGAAAGGGUUCUUACCAAAACGGGCUCAAGGGGGAGGAACAAACGCUGGGGGCAAAACCCGAUUUAAAUCCCCGGGUAGCCCCGGCCGAAAACCAUGUUCCUUGGGUGUCGGGGGCGGCGCGACCCUGUUUGGGGCCGAAAGAAAUCCUUAAACCGACUCCCUUGGAAAUUCCGUCCGCAAGUUUAAAAUUUAAGGAAUUGGGGGGGGAACCACAUAAAAAAAA